GACGAACGCUGGCGACGUGCUUAACACAUGCAAGUCGAACGGAAAGGCCCUGCUUUUGUGGGGUGCUCGAGUGGCGAACGGGUGAGUAACACGUGAGUAACCUGCCCUUGACUUUGGGAUAACUUCAGGAAACUGGGGCUAAUACCGGAUAGGAGCUCCUGCUGCAUGGAGGGGGUUGGAAAGUUUCGGCGGUUGGGGAUGGACUCGCGGCUUAUCAGCUUGUUGGUGGGGUAGUGGCUUACCAAGGCUUUGACGGGUAGCCGGCCUGGGAGGGUGGCCGGCCACCUCGGGCCUGAGGUACGGCCCAGACUCCUACGGGGGGCAGCAGUGGGGAAUAUUGCCCAAUGGGCGGAAGCCUGAUGCAGCAACGCCGCGUGCGGGAUGACGGCCUUCGGGUUGUAAACCGCUUUCGCCUGUGACGAAGCGUGAGUGACGGUAAUGGGUAAAGAAGCACCGGCUAACUACGUG
RNAcentral lists this ribosomal RNA (468 nucleotides) under uncultured bacterium. RNAcentral describes it as "partial 16S ribosomal RNA". It matches the Rfam family "Bacterial small subunit ribosomal RNA", at positions 28 to 507 of the family's 1533-position model. The record is from RNAcentral.